AAGGGUGUCAAGUAAAAAUAUUUUGAACUGAAAAGUUAGUGAUUAUUUUUAAGGAAAAAGUUGGCUAUAUUCUGAGUAAUUUUAAUCAAGAAUGGGCAAAUGGUCACAUGUUACUGUUUGGUUGAAGAGCACAUUGUCUCCUCAUAAAUUUCAAGCUAUUCGCCCUAGGUACACAGAUAGAAUGGAAGUAAUUAAAUAUGAUCCUCAUGUUCAGAGGAAGGUGUUGUAUAAAGAAAUGAAGAAAAUUACAAAUUUUAAACCUUAAGAGAAGUAUUUAGAGAAGAAUUCUUAGCCAUUGUAUAUAUUCAUUUGUAAUUUGUUAAAAUAAAUAAUAGUUUAAACAUUUA
This is a long non-coding RNA of Argiope bruennichi, 347 nucleotides long. RefSeq lists it as uncharacterized. The transcript has 4 exons. NCBI's taxonomy places the organism in Eukaryota, Metazoa, Arthropoda, Arachnida, Araneae, Araneidae. The record is from RefSeq and is a predicted model, not a curated record.